CAAAAACUUCAAUGACCAAAUUAGAAAUAUUCAUUUUGAAAUUUUAAAACGAUAUUGUUUCCUUGACAACUGUUCAUUACCUUCUUCAUUAACAACGGUUUCUACAGUAAAAGGCGGUGAAGACGUUAGCGGUGGAGCUGCUUCAAUCAGGGGAGCACGUCUCACGGCUGUAUCCCUCUCCACCAUGAUGCACUCCGUCCGUUACAACCUUCCUGCAAUAAAUCCUGAAAAACAUGCAUCCUCUGGCUAUAAAAAGCUAGAGGAGAGAUGGAUAGAAAAAAAAAGGAGACAGGGAGGGAGAGCGAGAAGGACAAGAGAGAAAGUGGGGAGUAGCACGAGAGGGAGACAAAAAUGAGCAGAAGGAAAGAAUGUAAGCAGAGGAAAUCGUUGAGACCAAAACUAAAGAAAUAAAAGGAAAGAAGAAUAUUUAUUCAUAAUCUUCUAUUACAGCAGCAGGGGACAACGUAACAUUGCAGUAGGAGAGAAGCUCUGCAACUUGUGUUGGAGUUAAACUAAAACUCUGGAAGCUGUGUUAAGGUCUGAUUCUACAAUCUGAAUUGCAGGAGGAUUUGCAAUCCGUGUUGGAGUAGGAGUUUGUUGUCCUUCUUUCAAUAAAAACCAACGUUGCCAUUGUCUUUGUCAUCUCAAAAACCAGAGACGAAGAAGAAGAAGAGUGCAAAAAAGAAUUGAACGAAAAGGAGAAUCAGAAAUGAAAACAGUAGCAGAAGGAAAGAAAGAAACGUUGCUCAAUCAAAGCACUGAUCACCCUCAACUUCAUCUUCAGGCAGCAGCUCUAGGGGAUGUUUGAGAGGACUAGAGAGGGAGAGAAAGAAUAAAACAGGGAACAAGAGGAAGAACAGAGUAGAAGAGAAAAAAAAGUAGAAGGGAAACGCAGCGAAAGAAAGAAGAACCACCAACCAGUUAGCGCCACGGUACACAACCGCAACACCGUCCACCGCCACCGGCAGCACCGCUAGGCCGCGGGUCUACUUCUUCCUCUUCCUCCUCCUCUUCUUCUUCUUCUCCAGGCUGCUCCACUGUUCACGUUGCAUGUGAACAGUGGAGAGUCUCUCUACUGUUUGUUUUAGUUUUCUGGGCCGGACAGCGCUGGCCAAGCCCAAAAUGGUUGGGUCGGGUCCGGCCCAGUCAAGAAAAACAUUUUCUUCAAAAAAAACAUUUUAAAAAAUAUGUGAUUUUCCCGUGUAUUUUUCUACUAAAUUUUUCUUAGUAUUGGUUUGUAUUUUUAUACCGUAAAGGUACAAAUCUAGAAUUAAAAUACCCAAUUUUCGUCAAAACAUUGAAAAAAAAAACAUGUUUUUAUUUUCAUGCAUAUGGCCAAGUAUCUCAAAGAAAAAAAAUCAUAUCAUAUUUUCAUACAACAAAAAUUCAAAAAUAUAUAUUAACAUGCAUUUUGGUUUUAAUAACCAGUUUAUUAAAGUUACGAGAACUAGGCUAAUAUUUCAAAAAUUCCAAAAAAAUUAUUUUUUUUCUUUUAGUAUCUGGGGUUACGACCUUAUACGUAAGAUGUAUUCCGGAUAUUAAAUUCUUUUGUUGACGUUAGAACAAUUAAGUUUUACCCGAUAAGAUAAGGAUCUCCUUAUCGAGGAGGAUGUUAAAUUCUGACCAACCAUUACUAAAUUGCUACUAGUAUAACUAUCUCUUGCAAAUGGUAGCGAGGAUUUUAGGCUUCUAUCAAGCAAGGUUGCCAAUUCCAUUAUUGAUGUUUUAUUUUUUUAAUUGUAACAAUAUAUUUUGGUUUUUGAGUAUUUUGACGUGUCAUUUUGGAUUGUUCUAUAUAUACUUUGGACUCAUCAAAUCGAUUGGGUCAUAUUAAUUUAACUCUUUAUUUUUACUUAUAAUUAAAAUUUAAAUUGUAUAA
Populus trichocarpa (black cottonwood) is the source of this 1879-nucleotide long non-coding RNA. RefSeq lists it as uncharacterized. The transcript has 2 exons. NCBI's taxonomy places the organism in Eukaryota, Viridiplantae, Streptophyta, Magnoliopsida, Malpighiales, Salicaceae. The record is from RefSeq and is a predicted model, not a curated record.